RNAcentral lists this ribosomal RNA (484 nucleotides) under uncultured bacterium. Its description in RNAcentral is "partial 16S ribosomal RNA". It matches the Rfam family "Bacterial small subunit ribosomal RNA", at positions 30 to 507 of the family's 1533-position model. The record is from RNAcentral.
AUUGAACGCUGGCGGCAGGCCUAACACAUGCAAGUCGAGCGGAUGAAGGGAGCUUGCUCCUGGAUUCAGCGGCGGCCGGGUGAGUCAUGCCUAUGAAUCUGCCUGGUCGUGGGGGAUAACGUCCGGAAACGGGCGCUAAUACCGCAUACGUCCUGAGGGAGAAAGUGGGUGAUCUUCGGACCUCACGCUAUCAUAUGAGCCUAGGUCGGAUUAGCUAGUUGGUGGGGUAAGGGCCUACCAAGGCGACGAUCCGUAACUGGUCUGAGAGGAUGAUCAGACACAUUGUAAGUGAGGAUGGUUCCAGACUCCGACGGGGGGCCACAGCGGGGAAUAUUGGACAAGGGAGGAGAGCCUAAUCCUGCAAUGCCGCGGAUAGGCAGAUGGUCUUAGGAUGGUAAAGCACUUUAAGUUGGGGGGAAGGGCAGUAAGUUAAUACCGUGUUGUUAUGACGUUACCAACAGAAUAAGCUCCGGCUAACUUCGUG